RNAcentral lists this ribosomal RNA (511 nucleotides) under Salmonella enterica subsp. enterica serovar Dublin. RNAcentral's name for it is "partial 23S ribosomal RNA". It matches the Rfam family "Bacterial large subunit ribosomal RNA", at positions 2293 to 2803 of the family's 2925-position model. Lineage: Bacteria; Pseudomonadati; Pseudomonadota; Gammaproteobacteria; Enterobacterales; Enterobacteriaceae. The record is from RNAcentral.
AAGAGUAACGGAGGAGCACGAAGGUUGGCUAAUCCUGGUCGGACAUCAGGAGGUUAGUGCAAUGGCAUAAGCCAGCUUGACUGCGAGCGUGACGGCGCGAGCAGGUGCGAAAGCAGGUCAUAGUGAUCCGGUGGUUCUGAAUGGAAGGGCCAUCGCUCAACGGAUAAAAGGUACUCCGGGGAUAACAGGCUGAUACCGCCCAAGAGUUCAUAUCGACGGCGGUGUUUGGCACCUCGAUGUCGGCUCAUCACAUCCUGGGGCUGAAGUAGGUCCCAAGGGUAUGGCUGUUCGCCAUUUAAAGUGGUACGCGAGCUGGGUUUAGAACGUCGUGAGACAGUUCGGUCCCUAUCUGCCGUGGGCGCUGGAGAACUGAGGGGGGCUGCUCCUAGUACGAGAGGACCGGAGUGGACGCAUCACUGGUGUUCGGGUUGUCAUGCCAAUGGCACUGCCCGGUAGCUAAAUGCGGAAGAGAUAAGUGCUGAAAGCAUCUAAGCACGAAACUUGCCCCGAG